Molecule: ribosomal RNA, 385 nt
Filed under: uncultured bacterium
Lineage: Bacteria
Description: bacterial SSU rRNA
Rfam family: Bacterial small subunit ribosomal RNA
Source: RNAcentral
AAUCAACGCUGGCGGCGUGCCUAACACAUGCAAGUCGCACGAGAAAGGGGAGCAAUCCCCGAGUAAAGUGGCGCACGGGUGAGUAACACGUGAAUUAUCUACCUCCGAGUGGGGAAUAACUGAGAGAAAUCUUAGCUAAUACCGCAUAACACUUACGAGUCAAAGCAGCAAUGCGCUUGGAGAGGAGUUCGCGGCCGAUUAGUUAGUUGGCGGGGUAAUGGCCCACCAAGACGAUGAUCGGUAUCCGGCCUGAGAGGGCGCACGGACACACUGGAACUGAAACACGGUCCAGACUCCUACGGGAGGCAGCAGUGGGGAAUUUUGCGCAAUGGGGGAAACCCUGACGGCAGCAACGCCGCGUGGAGGAUGAAGUAUCUUGGUACGU